Molecule: long non-coding RNA, 1567 nt
Organism: Eriocheir sinensis (Chinese mitten crab)
Lineage: Eukaryota; Metazoa; Arthropoda; Malacostraca; Decapoda; Varunidae
Exons: 6
Source: RefSeq, a predicted model, not a curated record
CCCCUGCCCGUGCUGCAGCCCUCAGCCCUGACCUCACCCUCAUGAACUGCUCUGACGUGAAGGAUCACUUGGUCAACAUGCUGCUGAAUAGUGGAAAGUGUGACGGUGGUGGCGGACAAGAUCGCUGGCCCUUUCCACCUUGGCCAUCCACCUCUACCACGAGUUGGCCCACCAAACACUCCACACCAAGGUUAACAAGGCCAUCAAUGUGCUCCAGGCAUACCUCAAGAGCCCGUCCAGCGCUGGGCCCGGCCACUGCAAGCCUUGUUGGGUCAAUGUGUGGGAAAUCAGCCAAGGUGGAGUUUGAGUCGGUCGGCCUCAACCAUGAGGGCUGUGUGAGCGGCAGGCUGGCCGUGAGCCUUCCUGGGAGUGCUGGGCGGCCUGGUGCCCCGGCUGAAGGCAAGCAGCCUCCCUGAGACACCCAAAGACUGGCUGACACAAGAUCUUGUGCUGGUACUGGUGUCUGAAGGCUGUGCAGUGGUGCGGACACAGGCUCAGAGUGCCCAGGUGGACCAAGAUGCUGGUUGCCGCCUGCCUGGGAGCAGACUCACAGAGGUCAGCGCGGGGCAGCAGGACAGCGCCCUCAGCAGUGACGAUGAGUCUCUCCAUGAAGGCUGCACAGCAGCAGGCCACCGUCGCCCGAGAGCAUCCCGAGGAACACUUCAAUGUCCAGGUGUGAGGAUGUCAAGCCACCACAAGCCAGGAGGGAAGUGGCUGCUGGGGCCAAGACAGCAGGUGAAGCAGAACCCUUAAGCCUCAGGUCUUCACCCCUGGACGAAGGAGGUGUUUCUUGGCGGCCAAACUCGGGAGACUCACCAGAAAAGACCUUGGUAGAUGAUGCAAGUUUUGCUCGCUGGAGACCACAAGAGUAUUCACCCGUGCCUCAUAUUGUGGGUGAGGAGAGCAGCCUGCACCAUCUCCCAAGAGGUAUGUUUAACAGUGAGGCAUGCACACAGGCAGGAAGCAGCACUACAGUCACCAGGAGACAUUUUACAUAAAACUGGCUACAAAAUACUGCUGCUGCUGGCCAGAAUGGAGAUCAGGUUCAGCAGGAUUCCAGCAAGGUGCUCUCUUUACUUCUUUGUGUGAUUUUGAAAACACUUCAGCAGCCAAGGGGAACGCUCAAGAGAAAGUGUCAUAUCUAUGCAAACCUUCCUGCAGGGGUGAGCUGAAAGGUGAAAAAUGUAGUUACCACGACUCCUUGGAGAAGAGAGACACCAUUAGUAGUUUGGUUGGUGAGAAAAGCUUCACCAGUCAUGCUGCUUGUACAGGGGAGAAGACUUCAGUGUUGUCCUCCAGGCCUCUUUGCAGCGGGUACUCUAGAUCAAGCAGCAGACCAAGUGUCUUGCAUGUGUGUGUGUGUGUGUGUGUGUGUGUGUGUGUGUGUGUGUGUGUGUGUGUGUGUGUGUGUGUGUGUGUGUGUGUGUGUGUGUGUGUGUGUGUGUGUGUGUGUGUGUGUGUGUGUAUUUACCUAGUUGUGAAAUACCGUACUAGGCUCGUGCUGUCCCAUCUCCAUAAUGCUUAUUAUCCAGUUUGGCUUUAAAUUCAUGAAUCGUUUUGCACACAC